GGGGGAUAACAGUGCGAAAGCGCUGCUAAUACCGCAUAAGCUCACGACAUCUUUGGAUGAAGUGAGAAAAGGGGGCCUCUGACUCAAGCUCCCGCCCUUCGAUCGGCUCGCGUCCCAUUAGCUAGUUGGUGAGGUAAUGGCUCACCAAGGCUACGAUGGGUAGCUGGUCUGAGAGGAUGAUCAGCCACACUGGAACUGAGACACGGUCCAG
RNAcentral lists this ribosomal RNA (211 nucleotides) under uncultured bacterium. RNAcentral describes it as "partial 16S ribosomal RNA". It matches the Rfam family "Bacterial small subunit ribosomal RNA", at positions 138 to 334 of the family's 1533-position model. The record is from RNAcentral.